AUUUAAUGUUUACUUUUCAGGAAUUACCCAACUCUGUCUUUCUGGUGAUGGAGUACUGCAAUGGUGGAGACCUGGCAGAUUAUUUGCAAGCUAAAGGAACUCUCAGUGAAGAUACUAUUAGGGUGUUUCUGCAUCAGGUCGCAGCUGCCAUGCGGAUUCUGCACAGCAAAGGAAU
Molecule: long non-coding RNA, 175 nt
Organism: Lontra canadensis (Northern American river otter)
Lineage: Eukaryota; Metazoa; Chordata; Mammalia; Carnivora; Mustelidae
Exons: 3
Source: RefSeq, a predicted model, not a curated record